GAGAGAGAGCAGCCAUCAUUUAUUGAUGCUGCUGAGGGGGAAGAUGAAUAGUCCGUCUGUGUACACAGCGCUGGAGAGGAGUGUGUGUGUUGCAAACAGCCGGCAUCCGAAUGCGAGUCAGCACUUAGUGUGUAUGUGAAACUGUAGAGGGCUGAAUACGAGUCACCUCGCACAGACUUACAGUGGUCAGAGUGUGAGUCUGCAGAAGUGUAGUGUGAACACAGGUCGGUGUUUCUGCUAGCGGAGGUGUCUGAAGCUCAGAGUGAGCUGCUCCACCGUCACCAUCUUGGACGUGUCUGACUCCGCCCCCUAACUCCCAGCUAAUCCAAAUAUGGUCAAAGGGGAGGGGCGUGUGUGGAGCUGAGACUUCUGUGCAUGCUGGGUGUCACUCACCUGUCACUCAAAGAGGCCACGCCCCUCAAUCCUCCAUAACUUUAGUCCUUAAUAAAAUGUAAACAGGAUGCUCCAGACGAAGUGCUCACUGGAUCAUUUUACAGAUUCCAGGAUCAAGUCAGGAUGUGCCUGAGCUGAGGAGCAGAUAAAGCUCUCAUCUUUCAAACAGAGGGAGGUCGCUCAGUGUUUACACGUCAGCGGGAAGGCGAGAGGUCAGAGGUCAGCGAGGUCGACCUUCGAGGAGGCGUUGACAGCAUGAGACGAACAAACAGAAGAGCACAAACCACGACGAAGAGGAGGAGGGAGACGCUCCAAGAGAAAGAAGAGACGAGAUUGAAAGAGAAAGAGCAGCAUCCGAGGAGAAAGAAAAGCAGAAAAAAGAUGAUGGAGAGAAUGAAUAGAAAGAAAGAAGAAAGAGAUGGACGCUAAUAGAUGUCUACAGGGACACAUAAAUCACACACAUCCUGUCUGACAAAUUGAUCGCUCUUCCACAAAUCUCCCCCGAGUGCAGCGACUGACGGCCGCUGUGUGUUUUCAGGACGACGCAGCAGAGCGGAGAAGAAGAAGAAGAUGGAGGACAGACUAAGCCUCUGCCCUGCUGACUGCGUGACCUGCCGGCUGUCCAUCAAAACCACUGUAACCAUGGUUACCACUGAGAGCGGCACACAGACGGGAGACGUGCGUGUGUGAGAGAGAGACAGCAGUGUGACAGAUGAAUAAUCAGAGCUGUAGCGCUGAUCGUCACGGAAACGAGGCCUGACAGCACCGACAACGCUGGAGAGAGAUCUCUCACACACACACACACACACACACACACACACACACACACCACACACACACACACACACACACACACACAGUAUGGAAACGCCACAGAAACAUUUUCCUCUCACAGAUCUGUCAGUGUUUUAUGUUAAUGUAAAAAACAUUGAUGUUGGAAUCAGCUUCAAACAUCCAGUACAAGACAGUGAACGCUCAACAGGAAGUUGGAGACACGAAACACAACAUCGAUUGUGCUGCAUAGACACUAAACGGACCGAGUAAAAAAGUUACUGACUGAACGCACCACAAAAAGCUUAUACAAAAUAAAUUAUAGGAAAAUAGAAUUAAACCAAAACUAUAAAACUAAAAGUAAGAUGAGGUAAAAUCAAACAAAUCUGAACUGAACUGACUUCUGCAGCACACACACACACACACACACACACACACCCACACACACACACACACACACACACACACACACACACACACACACACACACACACACACACCCCCACACACACACACCCACACACACACACACACACAAUGACACCUACCUUACCCACCCCGACUCCUGCUGCCGACCUUUACCCUUUAAUUGACACACGCUU
This is a long non-coding RNA of Seriola aureovittata, 1766 nucleotides long. RefSeq lists it as uncharacterized. The record is from RefSeq and is a predicted model, not a curated record. NCBI's taxonomy places the organism in Eukaryota, Metazoa, Chordata, Actinopteri, Carangiformes, Carangidae. The transcript is spliced from 6 exons.